UUGACCAGCAAAUGUGGGGGCAUCUACUCGUACGGUACGAAGUAGUCGCUCGUCAAGAUCGCGCUGGUGAUCAGGAGGAAGUUGGUUCCUAGGGGGAUGGGGAAAAGCUACAGGUAGUGUGGCCAAACCAAGCUCAGGAUAAGCUGCGAUUGGGGUUGACGGUUCAGGAUUCCUAGGAUGUUGCACUAGAGCACGGAUCUCUCUUUUGAAUUCAUCUUGAUCAGCUCGUAAUGCAGCUAAUUGUUCCAAAAUAUCUUGUAAAACUCUGGGAUCCAUGGUGGGUAAAGAGGUCUGAGAGUCAGUGAGGAGGUACUCUCUACCACUACGGGUUGGCAUGCAGGGACUACUCUAGUUGGU
Molecule: long non-coding RNA, 357 nt
Filed under: Phoenix dactylifera (date palm)
Lineage: Eukaryota; Viridiplantae; Streptophyta; Magnoliopsida; Arecales; Arecaceae
Description: long non-coding RNA (PDAC_LNC013777)
Source: RNAcentral